RNAcentral lists this ribosomal RNA (460 nucleotides) under uncultured bacterium. RNAcentral describes it as "partial 16S ribosomal RNA". It matches the Rfam family "Bacterial small subunit ribosomal RNA", at positions 338 to 795 of the family's 1533-position model. The record is from RNAcentral.
CCUACGGGAGGCAGCAGUGAGGAAUAUUGGUCAAUGGACGAGAGUCUGAACCAGCCAAGUAGCGUGAAGGAUGACGGCCCUAUGGGUUGUAAACUUCUUUUGUAAAGGAAUAAAACGAGGCACGUGUGCCCUUUUGCAUGUACUUUAUGAAUAAGGAUCGGCUAACUCCGUGCCAGCAGCCGCGGUAAUACGGAGGAUCCGAGCGUUAUCCGGAUUUAUUGGGUUUAAAGGGAGCGUAGAUGGGUUGUUAAGUCAGGUGUGAAAGUUUGUGGCUCAACCGUACAAUUGCAAUUGAUACUGGCAGUCUUGAGUACAGUUGAGGUAAGCGGAAUUCGUGGUGUAGCGGUGAAAUGCUUAGAUAUCGCGAAGAACACCGAUUGCGAAGGCAGCUUACUAAACUGUGACUGACACUGAUGCUCGAAAGUGUGGGUAUCAAACAGGAUUAGAUACCCCUGUAGUC